GGGACUGGUGCCACUAUGAAAGUGCACACUUUAUGAGAUUGGGGUGUAUGCCCAGGGACAGGCAGAGAUGGUAGCUAAGAAGAGGCUGCCCAGAGGGUGAGGGGCAGGACGUUAGACCAGCAUUACCUUCCUCACAGCGUUACUUGGGGCUGGGUGCAUGACCACAUCCCUCUCAGCAUCAAGGAAGAUGACUGUGGAAAUAAGUGUAAACCUUGAAUACUGUGAGAGAUCCUAUAGGACUACUGAAGUUCAUAACAGGAGAGAACUGGCAUCUUGAGCACCUAUUAGGUGUCGGGCACUAAGCUGGAGGUUUUAUGUACAUUCUGUCAUUUAACUCUCACAACACCUUAUCAUUUUCCAUUAUCAUACCAUUAUCAUGUACAAAUGUGGAAACAGGCUCAUGACUGUAAACGACUGAACCAUAUAGCUAAUACGUAGAAAGAGGCUUUAUCCAUUGAGCUCUCAGUACAGAAUAAGACUAGAUUAGAGAGGCUCAGAGGUGCCAAACAUAUACAUGCUUGUAUCAACUUUUUAUAAAGUGAAUUACAUAAAAGACAGGGAGGUAGAUGGCUAUUAUUUAAACGCUGUGACUACUUUCAUGAAACAAAGAUUAGUUUAGUAAAAACCAUGACCUCCCUAAUUUAUUGUAGAAAUUUAGAUGUCCGGUUGAAUAUGUCAGCUUGAAGUAGAUCAAGCCGCUCUUCUACUUACUUAUCUAAAUAUGCUUUGGAUUAUGAGGUUUUCUUUUGCAAUGACCUGACUGUGAUUUUGUUAAUAAUAAUGCAAAUGUUUAUGUAAUUUGAUUAAUGCUAAUUUUUUGAUAGAAUAAAAAUAUGAAGGAUGAUGACCUCUCCAUGAAACAAAAUGGAAAUGAUCUAUCACAAGUAAAUCUCAGCCAACAUGCUAAUGGGCCUCUCAAGCAGAUACAAGAGACAGGGUACAACUAUGCAAUGACCCUACAACUGCUGGGCUUGGAUGACAGCACUGAGCCCAGUGAUAGGAAUCCCGUCCUGAUGAGAGGGGCCUACUUGUCUUUUCUGUAUCUGCACCACCUUCGAAUCAGAGAACUGCAGCGCAUCUGCUUAGGAAUUCUGAAUUAUUUCAGAUCUGUUGAACGAACCCUGACAAUCAACACUUCGGGCCUUACUUUGGUUUCAGGGAAACUGGUCCCCACCAUGGAAGAUAGUUCCUGGGUAAAUAUGGCAAAAGGAGGUCUGGGCACCUUGCAGGGCCUGGGCGCUCACCACUAUGUCCAUGAGACGCCUGCUGAGCACAAGGUCCACGGCAUCCAAUUCAUGGAGUUCUCGGAAGUGGAGAACCAGGAUGACUACUACAGCACAGAAGCUGGCUGUAUCCACACCCAGGACCAGCAAGGGGUGCAUGUCAUGUAUGAGGAAGCCUUGAGUGAUCUCAAGGAACUAGAGGCAGAGUUGCUGCUUGUGGCUAGCCAUUACAUUGAGAAAGAAAG
This 1468-nucleotide long non-coding RNA is filed under the name Rhinopithecus bieti (black snub-nosed monkey). Its description in RNAcentral is "lncRNA (ENSRBIG00000046483.1)". The record is from RNAcentral. Lineage: Eukaryota; Metazoa; Chordata; Mammalia; Primates; Cercopithecidae.